Molecule: transfer RNA, 77 nt
Filed under: Alteromonadaceae bacterium
Lineage: Bacteria; Pseudomonadati; Pseudomonadota; Gammaproteobacteria; Alteromonadales; Alteromonadaceae
Also listed under: 1 other name
Description: tRNA-Val
Rfam family: tRNA
About the family: Transfer RNA (tRNA) molecules are approximately 80 nucleotides in length. Their secondary structure includes four short double-helical elements and three loops (D, anti-codon, and T loops). Further hydrogen bonds mediate the characteristic L-shaped molecular structure. tRNAs have two regions of fundamental functional importance: the anti-codon, which is responsible for specific mRNA codon recognition, and the 3' end, to which the tRNAs corresponding amino acid is attached (by aminoacyl-tRNA synthetases). tRNAs cope with the degeneracy of the genetic code in two manners: having more than one tRNA (with a specific anti-codon) for a particular amino acid; and 'wobble' base-pairing, i.e. permitting non-standard base-pairing at the 3rd anti-codon position.
Source: RNAcentral
ACACCCGUAGCUCAGUUGGUUAGAGCGCCGCCUUGACAUGGCGGAGGUCGGUAGUUCAAAUCUACUCGGGUGUACCA